GGGGGGAUAUGGGGGGAAUAUGGGGGGAUGUGGGGGGAUAUGGGGGCUGAUUUGGGGGGAUUUGGGAGUGUGGGGAAGGAAUAUGGGAUUUGGGAUAUGGACAUGGAGAUAUGUGAUAUAGGAUAUGGGGAUAUGGGAUGUGGGGAUAUGGGAUGUGGGAUGUGGAUGUGGGAUGUGGGAUGUGGGAUGUGGGAUAUGGGAUGUGGGAUAUGGGAUGUGGGAUGUGGGUAUGGGAUAUGGGAUGUGGGAUGUGGGAUAUGGGAUGUGGGAUGUGGCUCUAUGGGAUGUGGGACGUGGCUCUAUGGGAUGAGGGACGUGGCUCUAUGGGACGUGGCUCUAUGGGAUGUGGCUGUAUGGGACGUGG
RNAcentral lists this long non-coding RNA (364 nucleotides) under Phasianus colchicus (ring-necked pheasant). RNAcentral describes it as "lncRNA (ENSPCLG00000017433.1)". Lineage: Eukaryota; Metazoa; Chordata; Aves; Galliformes; Phasianidae. The record is from RNAcentral.